UACGGGGGGGGCAAGCGUUGUUCGGAAUUACUGGGCGUAAAGGGCGCGUAGGCGGCCGAGCAAGUUAGAUGUGAAAGUCCUGGGCUUAACCUGGGGACUGCAUUUGAUACUGCUUGGCUUGAAUUCGGGAGAGGAUAGCGGAAUUCCCAGUGUAGAGGUGAAAUUCGUAGAUAUUGGGAAGAACACCGGUGGCGAAGGCGGCUAUCUGGACCGACAUUGACGCUGAGGCGCGAAAGCGUGGGGAGCAAACAGG
RNAcentral lists this ribosomal RNA (253 nucleotides) under uncultured bacterium. RNAcentral's name for it is "partial 16S ribosomal RNA". It matches the Rfam family "Bacterial small subunit ribosomal RNA", at positions 524 to 776 of the family's 1533-position model. The record is from RNAcentral.